CCUACGGGAGACAGCAGUGGGGAAUAUUGCACAAUGGGGGAAACCCUGAUGCAGCGACGCCGCGUGAAGGAAGAAGGACUUCGGUUUGUAAACUUCUAUCAGCAGGGAAGAAAAUGACGGUAUCUGACUAAGAAGCCCCGGCUAACUACGUGCCAGCAGCCGCGGUAUUACGUAGGGGGCAAGCGUUAUCCGGAUUUACUGGGUGGAAAGGGAGCGUAGGCGGUUCAGCAAGUCAGAAGUGAAAGCCCGGGGCUCAACGCCGGGACUGCGUUUGAAACUGUUGAACUAGAUUGCAGGAGAGGUAAGUGGAAUUCCUAGUGUAGCGGUGAAAUGCGUAGAUAUUAGGAGGAACACCAGUGGCGAAGGCGGCUUACUGGACUGUAAAUGACGCUGAGGCUCGAAAGCGUGGGGAGCAAACAGGAUUAGAUACCCCAGUAGUC
This 440-nucleotide ribosomal RNA is filed under the name uncultured bacterium. RNAcentral's name for it is "partial 16S ribosomal RNA". It matches the Rfam family "Bacterial small subunit ribosomal RNA", at positions 338 to 795 of the family's 1533-position model. The record is from RNAcentral.